Non-coding RNA from Vicia faba (fava bean), 324 nucleotides. Lineage: Eukaryota; Viridiplantae; Streptophyta; Magnoliopsida; Fabales; Fabaceae. The record is from the annotation of a GenBank genome assembly.
AUGGUGCAAUUCGGGCAAUCAUCGAGAUGCAGAGCUUAUGAUACUGAAUUUUGGGAUUCGUUUCCACUCUCCUGCCUUCAAAAUCCAACGCCAAGUGUGUGUUUGGUUACGCGUUCAGAAAAAGAAACAUUCUGCCGUGAAAACAAAUAUACACUAAGACUCACUGCAUGCAAUAACAUUGAUAACCAGGUGACCCACCUGUGUGUUGGUAAGUUCAAGAAGAGGAUCUCAAAGUUACCCCAAAGAUGUCAGAAUGACCUGAAGUGCAAUGGAGUAUACCUAUAUCAUUUUGUAAAUAGUGAUAUCUUAGUACAUUUCCUGUAG